UGUUGAGUUAUGUGACAGGCUUCUGUAAAACUGCGUGUAGUGAAUAGUCCGUAAAAGGAGUAGACAGACUUCUAUGACCACUCCUUUCCUUUCUGACCUCCUUCCACAAAGAAUAAUCCCUAAUCUCAUAUAAUCCGCACUGUUGGUUGUAGAGAGAGCCGACUGCCAUUCACUGCGAGUUUAGCAUGACAUCAUAUACAAAGAGCGAGAUGGACAAUUAUCAAGCAUACGAAAAUCUACAACACAAUCAGCGAAGGAGGAUGCAGCUCCAGAACGAUCUUCAGUCACAACAAAGAAGUCAUCGCCUUAGCAGGGCUGCCUGGCUGCAGGGCCGCUGGUUGGAGAUCAGUGAGCAGGAACGCAGAGCUCAUAUUCAUAACCAAAAACUCCUGCAGGACUUUCAGAGAGCAGAAGACACACUCAGCGACAUGGUGGCCCGUACCGAAGCCAUGAACAUCAUACGGGUCAGCAACCAUAUGACUUCUGCUAUUUAUAAUGUAAAACAGCAGCACUGUGGGAAUAAUAUGUUCUAAAAUGCCUUUAGUGCA
Danio rerio (zebrafish) is the source of this 548-nucleotide non-coding RNA. Lineage: Eukaryota; Metazoa; Chordata; Actinopteri; Cypriniformes; Danionidae. The record is from RefSeq and is a predicted model, not a curated record.